RNAcentral lists this ribosomal RNA (757 nucleotides) under uncultured bacterium. RNAcentral describes it as "bacterial SSU rRNA". It matches the Rfam family "Bacterial small subunit ribosomal RNA", at positions 8 to 796 of the family's 1533-position model. The record is from RNAcentral.
AGAGUUUGAUCAUGGCUCAGGAUGAACGCUGGCGGUAUGCCUUACACAUGCAAGUCGUACGAAAGUUUUUAACUUUAGUGGCGGACGGGUGCGUAACACGUAAGAAUUUGCCUUUAGGAGGGGGACAACAACUGGAAACGGUUGCUAAUACCCCAUAUGCUUUCGAGUGAAAUGGAAUUUAAAAAUUUUCCGCCUAGAAAGAAGCUUGCGGCUGAUUAGCUUGUUGGUAAGGUAAUGGCUUACCAAGGCGACGAUCAGUAUCUGGUUUGAGAGGACGAUCAGGCACACUGGAACUGAGACACGGUCCAGACUCCUACGGGAGGCAGCAGUGGGGAAUUUUCCGCAAUGGGCGAAAGCCUGACGGAGCAAUACCGCGUGAGGGAUGACGGCCUAUGGGUUGUAAACCUCUUUUUUCAGGGAGGAACAAAAUGACGUGUACCUGAAGAAUAAGCAUCGGCUAACUCCGUGCCAGCAGCCGCGGUAAGACGGAGGAUGCAAGUGUUAUCCGGAAUCACUGGGCGUAAAGCGUCUGUAGGUGGUUUAAUAAGUCAACUGUUAAAUCUUGAGGCUCAACUUCAAAACCGCAGUCGAAACUAUUAGACUCGAGUAUAGUAGAGGUAAAGGGAAUUUCCAGUGGAGCGGUGAAAUGCGUAGAGAUUGGAAAGAACACCGAUGGCGAAGGCACUUUACUGGGCUAUUACUAACACUCAGAGACGAAAGCUAGGGUAGCAAAUGGGAUUAGAUACCCUAGUAGUCC